UUCUAAUGGUCAGGAAUAUUAUUGGGCUUUAAGUGUCCGUAACCGGUUUGAUAACUUCCUGGUUUAAUCUGGCAGCUUAACUGUCAGUUGGCUAUGAAUACUAUCUUACUACAGGGUGGGAAAUGUCUGGGGUACUCCAGUGGUAUCGGUGAAAUGCUAUAAUCCUUGGGGGACCACCAGUGGCGAAUGCGCCAGACUGGAAGUCUCCUGACGGUGAAGGACGAAAGCCUCGGAAGCCAACAGGAUUACAUACCCCAGUAAUCCUGGCUGUAAAAGACACCUGCUAUGUGUUGGUAUGGCUAAGAACCCUAUCUGUGCCGUAAGGAAACUGUUAUAACGCGCUCCUGAGAAUUACGCUCGCAAGGGUGAAACUUAAAGGAAUUGGCGGGGGAGCACCACAAGGGGUGAAGCCUGCGGUUCAAUUGGACUCAACGCCGGGAAACUUACCGGGGGCGACAGCAAAAUGAAGGUCAGGCUGACAACCUUACCAAACAAGCUGAGCGGAGGUGCAUGGCCGUCGCCAGUUCGUGCCGUGAGGUAUCCUGUUAAUUCAGGCAACGAACGAGACCCACACGCUUAUUUGCCACCAAAGGCCUACGGGUCUGUUGGGAACACUAAGCGGACUGCCGCCUUAUACAUGGAUGAUUGGGUGGGCCACAGCAGUCUUAUGCCUAAUCCCCCGGCCACACCGGGGUUGCAAUUGUUUGGAACAUGGUCGGCUAAUUCCNGAAGGGAGGCGCCCAUCUCGAACCAUUUUUCAGUUGGGAUUGUUCGGCUGUAACCCGCCGACAUGAACGUGGAUCCCUAGUAAUCGUGUGUCAUCAUCGCACGGUGAAUACGUCUCUGCUCCUUGCACACACCGCCCGUCGCUCCAUCCGAGUGUUGUAUGAUUGAAAGCCGGUCCUCAGGGUCGGCUUAAAAUGGUAUGACGCGAGGAGGGAG
This 942-nucleotide ribosomal RNA is filed under the name uncultured crenarchaeote pBRKC86. Its description in RNAcentral is "SSU rRNA". It matches the Rfam family "Archaeal small subunit ribosomal RNA", at positions 483 to 1429 of the family's 1478-position model. The record is from RNAcentral. Lineage: Archaea; Thermoproteati; Thermoproteota.